AAUCUUCCCUUCCUCAUUCCUCCUGAUGAGCAAAUGCAAAUCUCUCUCUCCCCCCCCCCCAGCAUAUUUUGCCUUUCUUUCAAGCUACAGAUUUGAAACCUGUGGGCUGCUUAGAUGACAUUAGUGGUGUGGUUUUCUAUAUUCCCUCUCCUGAUCUUCUUUUAUUUAAUUCUUUAAAAACAAAAACAAAAAAACCCCAACCGCAUUGCAGAAAAACAGCAGCUAGCUAGUUGGGGGCAGCGCUCUUUUACAUACGGGUUAGACACGGCUAGAGGCCAAGGUCAAGUUGAAAGUUGCAGUCUAGCCAAUGUGAGAACUGUCAUUCACAACCUCGAGCCCCUUGUCUGAUUUGUUAAAAAGGAGCAGCCAUGA
RNAcentral lists this long non-coding RNA (372 nucleotides) under Sphenodon punctatus (tuatara). Its description in RNAcentral is "HOXA transcript at the distal tip, conserved region 2 (ENSSPUG00000016108.1)". It matches the Rfam family "HOXA transcript at the distal tip, conserved region 2". The record is from RNAcentral. Lineage: Eukaryota; Metazoa; Chordata; Lepidosauria; Sphenodontia; Sphenodontidae.